RNAcentral lists this transfer RNA (73 nucleotides) under Diaphorina citri (Asian citrus psyllid). It matches the Rfam family "tRNA". From Rfam's summary of the family: Transfer RNA (tRNA) molecules are approximately 80 nucleotides in length. Their secondary structure includes four short double-helical elements and three loops (D, anti-codon, and T loops). Lineage: Eukaryota; Metazoa; Arthropoda; Insecta; Hemiptera; Psyllidae. The record is from Rfam by way of RNAcentral.
GCCUAGUUAGCUUAGUUGGUAGUGCGUCUGCCUUGUAAGCGCUAGGCCGCGGGUUUGAUUCCCACACGGGGCG